This is an RNA transcript of Enhydra lutris kenyoni (northern sea otter), 982 nucleotides long. It is a transcript of the gene named t-complex-associated-testis-expressed 3, with no coding region annotated. The transcript is spliced from 2 exons. NCBI's taxonomy places the organism in Eukaryota, Metazoa, Chordata, Mammalia, Carnivora, Mustelidae. The record is from RefSeq and is a predicted model, not a curated record.
CCGACACCGCCAUCGCCUCGGAGGGAGAGGAAGCCCAGCAUGUUCGAGAGGGAGGCAACCUUCAGUGAGGACGCGACCUGUCCGAGCGUGGGGAGCUGUAGAGCCCGUGCUGAGACGGGCGUCUGCUCCGGGACUGCCGGUCUGCUCGUCUCAGGUCUCCUCCCCCCGCUUCACGGGACCCGCCGUUCCUGCCGUGCAGGACUGAGAGCAAAGUGCUAACGUCGGCAGAUCCUGCAAGGCUUCAAGAACAAAACGCCUCGGAGCAUGUCGGCUCUGAGACAGCGCCGCGAUGUCCCGUUUUCCAGAGGAAGGAACAGAGCGGCUUCCCGCCAGCGGAAGGAAGAGCAGAGCGAGGCUGCAGACCUCCGUCUGUUGAAGGUGGAGUUGGUGCCCCCAGACGCUGUGCUGUGCAGCUCGGCCCUUAGCGGCAGGAGCCCCACCACGCAGAAGCCCGUACACACGGACUGUCUUUGAGGAACAUGUCGGAAAAACACUUGGACGUUUGUAACAGUUUGAAAAGACCUUUUUUUAGAAUCCAGUAUAUAACGUGCAAAACGUGUGCUUGUUGGCUCUUUGUAUUAUUGGUUUCUGGUCAACAGACUAGUUAAGUUUCAGGAGACUCAGAAAUCACACACAGUUGUUUUGUUUUUGCUUUUUUACUGGAGGGGGUGAUCAGUGCUUCUAACCUUACUGUUCUUUAAGGAUCAACAGUGUUGGUAAUAAAUCUGUUUUAUAGAUAUAUCACCAGCAGUAAGGAAGGAUUUAUGUGUUUUGAAUACACACGCACGCUUGGUGUAUAGACCGUAGUCUGGGAAUAAAGGGACAUGGACCAAGGCCAUUUUUGCUUAGUUGACAUGGAUGUGAUCAAUCACAGCUGUCUUUAAGAUCUAGACUUCUAGGGACACCUAGGGGGUCUCAGCUGGUGAAACGUCUGUCUUUGGCCCAGGUCAUGAUCCCAGGGUCCUGGGAUUGAGCCCUGCAU